AUUGAACGCUGGCGGCAGGCCUAACACAUGCAAGUCGAACGAGUGGCGGACGGGUGAGUAAUGUCUGGGAAACUGCCCGAUGGAGGGGGAUAACUACUGGAAACGGUAGCUAAUACCGCCUACCAUCGGAUGUGCCCAGAUGGGAUUAGCUAGUGGGUGGGGUAACGGCUCCCCUAGGCGGCGAUCCCUAGCUGGUCUGAGAGGAUGACCAGCCACACUGGAACUGAGACACGGUCCAGACUCCUACGGGAGGCAGGAGUGGGGAAUAUUGCACAAUGGGCGCAAGCCUGAUGCAGCCAUGCCGCGUGUAUGGAGAAGGCCUUCGGGUUGUAAAGUACUUUCAGCGAGGAGGCGUUACUCGAAGAAGAAGCACCGGCUAACUCCGUGCCAGCAGCCGCGGUAAUUC
This 406-nucleotide ribosomal RNA is filed under the name uncultured bacterium. Its description in RNAcentral is "partial 16S ribosomal RNA". It matches the Rfam family "Bacterial small subunit ribosomal RNA", at positions 30 to 526 of the family's 1533-position model. The record is from RNAcentral.